Molecule: long non-coding RNA, 405 nt
Organism: Drosophila innubila
Lineage: Eukaryota; Metazoa; Arthropoda; Insecta; Diptera; Drosophilidae
Exons: 2
Source: RefSeq, a predicted model, not a curated record
CUAAAUCAUUUUUUCGUUCCUUUUACGAUAACAACAUGGACGAAGGAGUGAGUGAAGGAGUGGAGAAAAGGAUGGUCGAUCCUAUCUGCAUCGUGUGCUCAAUGACUUUAACAUAAAACCAUGUGUCUCACCGCCAGAUCAAUAUCCGAAGACCAUCUGUAGGGAAUGUGUAAAAUUGUUUUGAAAAGAAGAUGCCAAAUCACUCUGAAUAUUUAGAUUUGGCAUAUAAGAUGUACUAUUUAUAUAACUAUGCAAAAUACAACAAUAGACUGACAGCAGCUGAAUGAACAGCUGCACUGGAUAAAGAAAAAACACCAUCUUCCAUUUUUUGUUGUGUUCUCAUUUCAAAGAAAAUACAUAAUGCCAAAAGCUUUUCUGUUCAUUUUGUGCCUUUACCUGCUUAAA